Molecule: long non-coding RNA, 629 nt
Filed under: Homo sapiens (human)
Lineage: Eukaryota; Metazoa; Chordata; Mammalia; Primates; Hominidae
Description: HSALNT0083579
Source: RNAcentral
AGCAAGCAUUCAACCAUUAGGAAUUUCAGAGUAUUUAUGAGAAGAUAAGUCAAUAAGCGAUAUCUAAGUUUGAGCUACCCCCUCAAAAGAAAAACCCUCCAAAAAUGCCUCCACCUCCCUCUCCCCCUGCCCUCCUUAACACACAAACACAUGGCAACAUUAAAAAGCAACCAGUAAUUUUUAAAAUUUUUUUUUCUUUUAGCAAACUCUCAACCAAAGCAGGCCAUUUCCAUUCUCAGAUAUGCACGUGGGAUAUGUGGCCCUGGGUCAGGGAGGGCAGGCAGGGCUGAUACGAGAGGAGGGGCUGGAGUCCGCUUUUCCCUUCCUGACCCCCAUCCUGGGCCCGCUGUUCUGGCAAAGCUGAUCAGAUUGGAGGGUGGGUCUUCUGCAUUAUUAAAAUUUCCACUCUUCCAGAUAAUAAAGUGUGAUUUCUCCUCUCUCUGUCUCCCCUUCUGCCUCCUUUCUAAUCUCUUGCCACUGUGGUUUUGGGAUUAUUCCAGCAGGCUGUACAAAGGGAAGCGAAGGCAUCUGAAGUGUCACUCUACAGCUGUGCAAAGUAACAGCAUUUCCAUUUUGUUGAUGCUCCCAGCUCAUGUGCGCAGCAGAAGGUGAAAUCAAAGAAGCCGGUC